UUGAUACUCCUUCCGUCCAACAAAAGAUGUCUAAAAUUUAUCAAAAUUUGGAUGUAUCUUAGUGUAUAGAUGCGUUCAAAUUUAGUCAAAAUUAAGACAUCCUUUGUUGAACGUAGGGAGUAUUUA
Molecule: non-coding RNA, 126 nt
Organism: Brachypodium distachyon (stiff brome)
Lineage: Eukaryota; Viridiplantae; Streptophyta; Magnoliopsida; Poales; Poaceae
Source: Rfam